RNAcentral lists this long non-coding RNA (209 nucleotides) under Phaseolus vulgaris (common bean). Its description in RNAcentral is "long non-coding RNA (PVUL_LNC002032)". Lineage: Eukaryota; Viridiplantae; Streptophyta; Magnoliopsida; Fabales; Fabaceae. The record is from RNAcentral.
CAACCAGCACACAACAACUUUUUGUGUCAUGUUCGUGCGCUUGAUGAAAUUCGCACCAAUCAUCCCAAUGAUGUACCAAGGCGGGAUCAAUCAUUUGAGGGAAUUUUAACUUGUUAGAUAUCUUUAGGUGGGCCAAGAGAUGUCUUUGAGGAACGAUAAACGAUGGGUAAGUAGGUUUCUCCCUUUUUUUUGCUGCUUCGCUGAGUCAC